RNAcentral lists this ribosomal RNA (1599 nucleotides) under metagenome. Its description in RNAcentral is "bacterial LSU rRNA". It matches the Rfam family "Bacterial large subunit ribosomal RNA", at positions 1213 to 2874 of the family's 2925-position model. The record is from RNAcentral.
GAGUGCAUAUACUGGGUAGGGGAGCGUUGUAUAGUAGGACGAAGUCAGACCGAAAGGACUGGUGGACGAAAUACAAGUGAGAAUGCCGGAAUGAGUAGCGAGAAUUAUGUGAGAAUCAUAAUGGUCGAAAAUCUAAGGUUUCCCGGGGAAGGUUCGUCCGCCCGGGGUAAGUCGGGAGCUAAGGCGAGGCCGAAAGGCGUAGUCGAUGCACAUACGGUGGAAAUUCCGUAACCGCCGAAAUCUUUAAGUACAGGGACACAGGAGCAUAGCCUGACCCCGCCGUUGGUUGAGCGGGGCGAAAGGGAGCGAACAAAAGUAGCGAAGCAGGUGAUUGCACACUGGCGAGAAAAGCUGUACGGAAUAGAUAAGGUGCCCGUACCGCAAACCGACACAGGUAGAUGAGGAGAGAAUCCUAAGACCAACGGGAGAAGCAUUGUUAAGGAACACGGCAAAAUGACCCCGUAACUUCGGGAGAAGGGGUGCCUCUUUAGGGAGGCCGCAGAGAAUAGUCCCAAGCGACUGUUUAGCAAAAACACAGGUCUAUGCUAAGUCGAAAGACGACGUAUAUGGGCUGACGCCUGCCCGGUGCCGGAAGGUUAAGGGGAACGGUUAGACUUUGAGUCGAAGCUGUGAAUUUAAGCCCCGGUAAACGGCGGCCGUAACAAUAACGGUCCUAAGGUAGCGAAAUUCCUUGUCAGGUAAGUUCUGACCCGCACGAAUGGCGUAACGACUUGGGAGCUGUCUCGACAAUGUGCCCGGCGAAAUUGUAGUACCGGUGAAGAUGCCGGUUACCUGCGACAAGACGGAAAGACCCCAUGGAGCUUUACUGUAGCUUGAUAUUGGAUUCCGGUGUAUGAUGUACAGGAUAGGUGGGAGACUGAGAGACUAUCACGCCAGUGGUAGAGGAGUCGUCGUUGGGAUACCACCCUUCGUAUAUUGGAAUUCUAACCGGAUACCAUGAAGCUGGUAACGGGACACUGUCAGGUGGGCAGUUUGACUGGGGCGGUCGCCUCCAAAAAGGUAACGGAGGCGCUCAAAGGUUUUCUCAGCACGGACGGAAAUCGUGCGAAGAGUGCAAACGCAGAAGGAAGCCUGACUGCGAGACGAACAGGUCGAGCAGGGACGAAAGUCGGAGUUAGUGAUCCGGCGGUAUGAGAGUGGAAUUGCCGUCGCUCAACGGAUAAAAGCUACCCUGGGGAUAACAGGCUUAUCUCCCCCAAGAGUCCACAUCGACGGGGAGGUUUGGCACCUCGAUGUCGGCUCAUCGCAUCCUGGAGCUGAAUUAGGUUCCAAGGGUUGGGCUGUUCGCCCAUUAAAGCGGUACGCGAGCUGGGUUCAGAACGUCGUGAGACAGUUCGGUCCCUAUCUGUCGCAGGCGGAGGAUAUUUGAGAGGAGCUGUUCCUAGUACGAGAGGACCGGAAUGGACGCACCGCUGGUGCACCGGUUGUCAUGCCAAUGGCACGGCCGGGUAGCUAAGUGCGGAAGGGAUAAACGCUGAAGGCAUCUAAGCGUGAAGCCCCCCUCGAGAUAAGAUAUCCCAUACCGAAAGGUAGUAAGGUCCCAUAUAGACUAUGUGGAGAUAGGUCACAGGUGUAAGC